Small nuclear RNA from Hippopotamus amphibius kiboko, 107 nucleotides. The record is from RefSeq and is a predicted model, not a curated record. Lineage: Eukaryota; Metazoa; Chordata; Mammalia; Artiodactyla; Hippopotamidae.
CUGCUAGCUUCAGGAGCACAUGUACGACAAUUAUACUGAAACAGAGAAGAGCAGCACGGCUCCUGAGCAGGGAUGAGGCACAAAUGCCUGAAGGGUUCCAUUAUUUA